AUGAACGCUGGCGGCGUGCCUAAUACAUGCAAGUCGAGCGAGCAGACGAGGAGCUUGCUCCUCUGACGUUAGCGGCGGACGGGUGAGUAACACGUGGAUAACCUACCUAUAAGACUGGGAUAACUUCGGGAAACCGGAGCUAAUACCGGAUAAUAUAUUGAACCGCAUGGUUCAAUAGUGAAAGACGGUUUUGCUGUCACUUAUAGAUGGAUCCGCGCCGCAUUAGCUAGUUGGUAAGGUAACGGCUUACCAAGGCAACGAUGCGUAGCCGACCUGAGAGGGUGAUCGGCCACACUGGAACUGAGACACGGUCCAGACUCCUACGGGAGGCAGCAGUAGGGAAUCUUCCGCAAAGGGCGAAAGCCUGACGGAGCAACGCCGCGUGAGUGAUGAAGGUCUUCGGAUCGUAAAACUCUGUUAUUAGGGAAGAACAAAUGUGUAAGUAACUAUGCACGUCUUGACGGUACCUAAUCAGAAAGCCACGGCUAACUACGUG
This 496-nucleotide ribosomal RNA is filed under the name uncultured bacterium. Its description in RNAcentral is "partial 16S ribosomal RNA". It matches the Rfam family "Bacterial small subunit ribosomal RNA", at positions 29 to 507 of the family's 1533-position model. The record is from RNAcentral.